GUAACGGCGAGUGAAGCGGCAACAGCUCAAAUUUGAAAUCUGGCCCUCGGGUCCGAGUUGUAAUUUGUAGAGGAUGCUUUUGGUGCAGUGCCUUCCGAGUUCCUUGGAACAGGACGCCUUAGAGGGUGAGAGCCCCGUACGGUUGGACACUAAGCCUCUGUAAAGCUCCUUCGACGAGUCGAGUAGUUUGGGAAUGCUGCUCUAAAUGGGAGGUAAAUUUCUUCUAAAGCUAAAUACCGGCCAGAGACCGAUAGCGCACAAGUAGAGUGAUCGAAAGAUGAAAAGUACUUUGAAAAGAGGGUUAAAUAGCACGUGAAAUUGUUGAAAGGGAAGCGUUUAUGACCAGACCUUUGUCUGGCGGAUCAUCCGGUGUUCUUCACCGGUGCACUUCGCCAGGCUCAGGCCAGCAUCGAUUUCUGUAGGGGGAUAAAAACCAUGGGAACGUAGCUCUCUCCGGGGAGUGUUAUAGCCCUAGGUACAAUACCUUUACGGGGAUCGAGGUUCGCGCUUCUGCAAGGAUGCUGGCGUAAUGGUCAUCAACGACCCGUCUUGAAACACGGACCAAGGAGUCGAACAUUUAUGCGAGUGUUUGGGUGUUAAACCCUCACGCGUAAUGAAAGUGAACGGAGGUGAGAGCCCGUACGGGUGCAUCAUCGACCGAUCCUGAUGUCUUCGGAUGGAUUUGAGUAAGAGCAUAACUGUUCGGACCCGAAAGAUGGUGAACUAUGCGUGGAUAGGGUGAAGCCAGAGGAAACUCUGGUGGAGGCUCGCAGCGGUUCUGACGUGCAAAUCGAUCGUCAAAUCUGCGCAUGGGGGCGAAAGACUUAUCGAACCAUCUAGUAGCUGGUUACCGCCGAAGUUUCCCCUCAGGA
This 872-nucleotide ribosomal RNA is filed under the name Allodiatrype thailandica. Its description in RNAcentral is "partial large subunit ribosomal RNA". It matches the Rfam family "Eukaryotic large subunit ribosomal RNA", at positions 83 to 978 of the family's 3401-position model. Lineage: Eukaryota; Fungi; Ascomycota; Sordariomycetes; Xylariales; Diatrypaceae. The record is from RNAcentral.